RNAcentral lists this ribosomal RNA (393 nucleotides) under uncultured bacterium. Its description in RNAcentral is "partial 16S ribosomal RNA". It matches the Rfam family "Bacterial small subunit ribosomal RNA", at positions 338 to 729 of the family's 1533-position model. The record is from RNAcentral.
CCUACUGGAGGCAGCAGUGGGGAAUAUUGCACAAUGGGCGAGAGCCUGAACCAGCCAAGUCGCGUGAGGGACGACGGCCCUACGGAUUGUAAACCUCUUUUGCCGGGGAGCAAACGACGCCACGCGUGCCGUUCCGAGAGUACCCGGAGAAAAAGCAUCGGCUAACUCCGUGCCAGCAGCCGCGGUAAUACGGAGGAUGCGAGCGUUAUCCGGAUUUAUUGGGUUUAAAGGGUGCGUAGGCGGGAUACCAAGUCAGCGGUCAAAUAGAGAGGCUCAACCUCUUUGCGCCGUUGAAACUGGUUUUCUUGAGUGAGCGAGAAGUAUGCGGAAUUCGUGGUGUAGCGGUGAAAUGCUUAGAUAGCACGAAGAACUCCGAUUGCGAAGGCAGCUUAC